This 465-nucleotide ribosomal RNA is filed under the name Vreelandella stevensii. RNAcentral describes it as "partial 16S ribosomal RNA". It matches the Rfam family "Bacterial small subunit ribosomal RNA", at positions 338 to 795 of the family's 1533-position model. The record is from RNAcentral. Lineage: Bacteria; Pseudomonadati; Pseudomonadota; Gammaproteobacteria; Oceanospirillales; Halomonadaceae.
CCUACGGGGGGCAGCAGUGGGGAAUAUUGGACAAUGGGGGCACCCCUGAUCCAGCCAUGCCGCGUGUGUGAAGAAGGCCCUCGGGUUGUAAAGCACUUUCAGUGAGGAAGAACGCCUGGUGGUUAAUACCCAUCAGGAAAGACAUCACUCACAGAAGAAGCACCGGCUAACUCCGUGCCAGCAGCCGCGGUAAUACGGAGGGUGCGAGCGUUAAUCGGAAUUACUGGGCGUAAAGCGCGCGUAGGUGGCUUGAUAAGCCGGUUGUGAAAGCCCCGGGCUCAACCUGGGAACGGCAUCCGGAACUGUCAAGCUAGAGUGCAGGAGAGGAAGGUAGAAUUCCCGGUGUAGCGGUGAAAUGCGUAGAGAUCGGGAGGAAUACCAGUGGCGAAGGCGGCCUUCUGGACUGACACUGACACUGAGGUGCGAAAGCGUGGGUAGCAAACAGGAUUAGAUACCCUAGUAGUC